Molecule: RNA transcript, 1693 nt
Organism: Amaranthus tricolor (Joseph's coat)
Lineage: Eukaryota; Viridiplantae; Streptophyta; Magnoliopsida; Caryophyllales; Amaranthaceae
Gene name: alpha/beta hydrolase domain-containing protein VTE7
Exons: 11
Source: RefSeq, a predicted model, not a curated record
UUUGGAGGUUGAGAAAUGAGAACAAUUUGAUCAACACCAACUGCUCGGCUAACCAACUCAUACGGCAUAUCCAAGCCUCCCAUUGCCCAUCUCAAUUUUCAACCAUUUUAGCUUGGAAUUACCCACCAUUUUCAUCCAAUCUUUUACUCUCUCGUCUCCGGUGAGCACCCAAUGUUUACUCUAACACCUGCCCAUUGCUCUCCUUUAUCCUUCAAACCUUCAAAUUACUCUAAAAUUAAGAAACAUUUCAAGGUUUACGCAAAUGGGUUUCCUCCAUUUCUACCCAAAGAUGUCGAGAAUAUCAGCGAUUCAUUUGCCCGUAAAUUAGCUAUGAGAAUUGAGAGGCUACCCGUCCAGUUGACAUCAUCCUCGGAGACUUCUAUCAUGAGUAGUUGCGUACGACCAAUGGUGCAAGGGAAGAGUGAUCCAAUUGUUCUCCUACAUGGAUUUGAUAGUUCUUGUUUAGAGUGGAGAUACGCUUACCCAAUGCUCGAGGAGGCUGGCUUUGAGUGCUGGGCGUUUGACAUCCUUGGUUGGGGUUUCUCUGAUUUAGAAAGGCUUCCAGAUUGUGAUGUAGCAUCCAAGCGCAACCAUUUGUACCAGUUCUGGAAAUCUUACAUAAAAAGGCCAAUGAUACUUGUUGGACCAAGUCUUGGAGCGGCUGUUGCAAUUGACUUUGCAGUUAACCAUCCAGAAGCAGUUAGCAAACUGAUUCUGAUUGAUGCAAGUGUAUAUGCGGAAGGUACGGGUGAAAUGGCCAAACUGCCCCGUCUACUUGCUUAUGCUGGAGUUGCUUUAUUGAAAAGUGUUCCGCUACGACUCUAUGUGAAUCUUAUAGCCUUUAACAACGUAUCCUUUAGUACCAGCUUAGACUGGAUGAAAAUUGGUCGUUUGCAUUGCCAAUUUCCUUGGUGGGAGGAUGCUGCUGUUAACUUCAUGAUAAGCGGAGGUUAUAACGUUGUUCCUCUAAUAAAACAGGUAAAACAGCGGACGCUCAUAAUUUGGGGAGAGGAUGACCAGAUCAUCAGCUACAAACUGGCGUUGAGAUUGCACGGAGAGCUGCAAGACGCAAUUGUGCGACAAAUACCAGACUGUGGCCAUAUCCCUCACGUCGAAAAACCCAGUUCAGUUGCAGACCUGAUAAUUAAAUUUUCCCAACUGAAGUGUGGUACUGAAUUGUUCAGGGUUUGAUUAAUAAUGUGGGGAUGGCCUUAAGGUGGUCCUAAGAAGCUUUAACUCACAUUCAUUCAUAUAAGGAUUGCUUAGAACACAACGGUUUUGUGAUUGAUGGUGCGCAUGUUGGUGGUCCGUGGUGAUGUAAGUACAAAGCUUUGAUGGAGUCUGUUCAUUUACAUGUAUAAUGUAUUUGUCUUGUACAGCUCAUUCAUUAUAAAUCAUACUCCUUUUUAACUGCUAGUAUUUUGGGGUUUUACAUCUCCCCUUCUCCCUUUUAAGGUGCAACCUUUUAGUGUUCAAUUUAUGAAGAGGCCCAAUUAAAUUAAUUAUUAUUAUUAUAAGGCAAAAUGUUAAAAAACUACCUAGUAUAUACUCCAUUUUGCAAAAAACUACCUUAAAUAAAAUUUUUUGCAAAAAACUACCUUAUAUAAUACAAUUGUUUGCAAAACACUACCUUAUAACGGAUUGUGGCCUUUGACCGCUAUCUUUAACCGUUGACCCGCAUGUGAGACGCACG